GCUAUUAUCUGGCUAAGCCAGUGGUCUUAUCUUGUGAGGUCCUGUGGAAGUGGGCCCGCAGACUGAUACUGCGUGGCUCCCUGGAUUCAGCCCCCUUCCUAAGGCAAGGCAAUGUACUUCUAUAAAAGGGCCCACCCUUACAGAUGGAGCAAUGAUUGUUGGAGAAGAUAGGAGAAAGUGAAGAAGGGAAGAAGAGAAAAAAACAGAGAAGAAAGAAGGAAAAGAAGAUAGAGGGACAAGUAGAAGAAGGAAAGGAAAGGAAAAGCAAGGAAAAAGGAUAACCUGUCCUCUUUGACUAGUAGGCUCACCAACUCUUCUUUACCAUGGAAGGGAUUUCAGUAGGACCAAAGGCUUUUCCCAUGAAAUAGUAUUUUAUCUUGAUAAGAACCUAGCACAUUGGUUACCAACCUCCUUAAAUUGAUUCCCUCAAAAGGAAGAAAGUGUAUCUGGAAAUCCUCUGAAACUUCCAGAGUCCCCCAAGCCCAGUGCUAUUUCUACCAGGGGAGAAAGCAGAGCUCUUUGUAUAUAUGGGUAGGAGCAAAGUAAGAUUCUCCUCCCCCUUUCCCCACAACCCGAAGCAGAAGUUUCUCCUGAGAUUUCAACCAGUAAAAUCACCAUAUAAUAGAUUAGGCAUCCUGAGAAGUUCUUAAUGGAACGAGAGCUCUCACUAAUCAAAGCAGGAAAGAACAGGGCCUUGAAGAAAUCAGAAAUCUAAUUAAGGUGGAAUUUCAAGAGAUCUGACUGAAUGUUAAAUAAGUUGUAGAAGCCUCAUCAAAAGGAUUAACUCAGCUGCAGAGACAACGCAGAAGUGCAGGUGGGGAUUCUGCAUGAAGACUGGAAAAAAAAACAGUGACAAGAACUGAAAGUGGUCAUUGUGUUCAUGGUGUGUCUAAAGGACAGAUAAAAGAAAGAGGUGCCCCUGACCCCUCCUUUCAUCCCAUCUUAGUUGAUGAGGUUUGGGGAAAAGAAGAGUUUGUUAAGCUCAUUUAAUCUGUUUUGUCUUGUCCAUGUUUUCAUCAAGCAACUUUCUGAUUAAUUUGGCUUUUAGAAUAUAUUUUUCCAAGCAAGACAGAGAUUGUUAUUCAGCCAACAUGAGCAUUCCCAGCUGUUUUUGGGUUAUAUUAGCUCUGGAAUUAAAACAAAACCAAACAAAAAA
RNAcentral lists this long non-coding RNA (1156 nucleotides) under Homo sapiens (human). RNAcentral's name for it is "novel transcript". Lineage: Eukaryota; Metazoa; Chordata; Mammalia; Primates; Hominidae. The record is from RNAcentral.